AACCUAGCACACCUGCGGUGUGUACCUGCGGAAGGAUCAUUACCUUUCUUCAGCGGGGACUUGUCCCUGUCUGUAUACCCAUGUCUUUUGCGUACUUAUUGUUUCCUCGGCGGGGCAACCUGCCGACUGGACACCUUAAAAAACCUUUUGUAAUUGCAAUCAGCGUCUGAAAUAAAUUUAAUUAUUUACAACUUUCAACAACGGAUCU
RNAcentral lists this unclassified non-coding RNA (208 nucleotides) under soil metagenome. RNAcentral's name for it is "partial contains 5.8S ribosomal RNA, internal transcribed spacer 2, and large subunit ribosomal RNA". The record is from RNAcentral.